This 329-nucleotide ribosomal RNA is filed under the name uncultured eukaryote. Its description in RNAcentral is "partial 18S ribosomal RNA". It matches the Rfam family "Eukaryotic small subunit ribosomal RNA", at positions 1470 to 1796 of the family's 1831-position model. The record is from RNAcentral.
CCCUUAGAUGUUCUGGGCCGCACGCGCGCUACACUGACGAUGGCAACGAGUUUUUCCUUCGCCGAAAGGUGUGGGUAAUCUUUUGAGACAUCGUCGUGCUGGGGAUAGAUCAUUGCAAUUUUUGAUCUUGAACGAGGAAUUCCUAGUAAGCGCGAGUCAUCAGCUCGCGUUGAUUACGUCCCUGCCCUUUGUACACACCGCCCGUCGCUACUACCGAUUGAAUGGUUUAGUGAGGACUCCUGAUUGGCGCCGCCGCCCCGGCAACGGAGCAGCGGACUGCCGAAAAGUUGUUCAAACUUGAUCAUUUAGAGGAAGUAAAAGUCGUAACA